UCACCAUCCAUCUAUCACCAUCUAAAAAUUCAUCCACAUCUCAUCUCCAUCACUCUCUACAAAACUUACUAACCAUUUUCAUCUAUAGAGCGAAGAAUCAUCAAUUUUUAGAGAUUUUGGAUUUUAAAGCAUUGUAAGGGUUGAAGAAGAAGAAGAUUGUCAUUCCACAUUCAUCCAUUGAUUUGAAUUUGCAUUUUGGGGUGUAUUUUUCUUACUCUAUUUCAUUUUAGGGGGUGUUUGGCCUAGCUUAUUUACUGGGAUUAUUUCCUUUUUAGCUUAUGUUGGACUUAUAUAAGCUAGUUUUGAAAAACCAUUCAAACAAUGGUUUUUCAACACAACUUGUAAAACAUCCUUAUACCAUUGUAUCACUCAGCUUUCUUUUAUUUUCCCAUAUCCCACAAACCUAUCCAUCUACCUCCUUUUCUUUUUUCUCAGUUCUGUUCAUCCUCAUUGCUACACACAGAUUGAAAGCUUAUAAUUUGUGUUCUUGCGGUCAUCAUGGAUUCGGUAGACACGAAGGAGGUGAGUACUCUAGCGUACGCAGAGCCGGUCCUGCAUAUGGGCCAGAUGGGUGUAGGCCCAAGGCAGAGAAAACUUAGGAGGCAGCAGGCUAAUACUCUAGACUUCAAUACUUAUACAUUGUAGCCACGUUUCUCGACUUUUAAUCCUUUAAUUUUGUUAACCCCAUCAUAUGAAACAUAAGUAUAAACAAUUAAAUAAUUCAUAUUGGUCA
Long non-coding RNA from Erigeron canadensis, 733 nucleotides. RefSeq lists it as uncharacterized. The transcript has 2 exons. NCBI's taxonomy places the organism in Eukaryota, Viridiplantae, Streptophyta, Magnoliopsida, Asterales, Asteraceae. The record is from RefSeq and is a predicted model, not a curated record.